GAUCCUUCGGGAUAGUGGCGGACGGGUGAGUAACGCGUGGGAAUCUGCCCUCAGGAGGGGGAUAACGGCUGGAAACGGCCGCUAAUACCCCAUAUGCCGAGAGGUGAAAUGAAUUUCGCCUGAGGAUGAGCCCGCGUCUGAUUAGCUAGUUGGUGGGGUAACGGCCCACCAAGGCGACGACCAGUAGCUGGUCUGAGAGGAUGAUCAGCCACACUGGGACUGAGACACGGCCCAGACUCCUACGGGAGGCAGCAGUGGGGAAUUUUCCGCAAUGGGCGAAAGCCUGACGGAGCAACGCCGCGUGAGGGAUGAAGGCCUCUGGGCUGUAAACCUCUUUUCUCAAGGAAGAAGACCUGACGGUACUUGAGGAAUAAGCCACGGCUAAUUCCGUGCCAGCAGCCGCGGUAAUACGGGAGUGGCAAGCGUUAUCCGGAAUUAUUGGGCGUAAAGCGUCCGCAGGCGGCUUUGUAAGUCUGUUGUUAAAGCGUGGAGCUUAACUCCAUUUAAGCAAUGGAAACUACAAGGCUGGAGUGUGGUAGGGGCAGAGGGAAUUCCCGGUGUAGCGGUGAAAUGCGUAGAUAUCGGGAAGAACACCAGUGGCGAAGGCGCUCUGCUGGGCCAUAACUGACGCUCAUGGACGAAAGCCAGGGGAGCGAAAGGGAUUAGAUACCCCUGUAGUCCUGGCCGUAAACGAUGAACACUAGGUGUCGGGGGAAUCGACCCCCUCGGUGUCGUAGCCAACGCGUUAAGUGUUCCGCCUGGGGAGUACGCACGCAAGUGUGAAACUCAAAGGAAUUGACGGGGGCCCGCACAAGCGGUGGAGUAUGUGGUUUAAUUCGAUGCAACGCGAAGAACCUUACCAGGGUUUGACAUCCUGCGAACCCCUGAGAAAUCGGGGGGUGCCUUCGGGACCGCGGAGACAGGUGGUGCAUGGCUGUCGUCAGCUCGUGUCGUGAGAUGUUGGGUUAAGUCCCGCAACGAGCGCAACCCACGUCUUUAGUUGCCAGCAUUCAGUUGGGCACUCUAGAGAGACCGCCGGUGAUAAACCGGAGGAAGGUGUGGAUGACGUCAAGUCAUCAUGCCCCUUACAUCCUGGGCUACACACGUACUACAAUGCUACGGACAAAGGGCAGCAAGCUCGCGAGAGUUAGCAAAUCCCAUAAACCGUGGCUCAGUUCAGAUCGUAGGCUGCAACUCGCCUACGUGAAGGAGGAAUCGCUAGUAAUCGCAGGUCAGCAUACUGCGGUGAAUACGUUCCCGGGCCUUGUACACACCGCCCGUCACAC
Molecule: ribosomal RNA, 1286 nt
Filed under: metagenome
Description: bacterial SSU rRNA
Rfam family: Bacterial small subunit ribosomal RNA
Source: RNAcentral